GAUGAACGCUAGCUACAGGCUUAACACAUGCAAGUCGAGGGGCAGCAUUUUAGUUUGCUUGCAAACUAAAGAUGGCGACCGGCGCACGGGUGAGUAACACGUAUCCAACCUGCCGAUAACUCGGGGAUAGCCUUUCGAAAGAAAGAUUAAUAUCCGAUGGUAUAUUAAAACCGCAUGGUUUUACUAUUAAAGAAUUUCGGUUAUCGAUGGGGAUGCGUUCCAUUAGUUUGUUGGCGGGGUAACGGCCCACCAAGACUACGAUGGAUAGGGGUUCUGAGAGGAAGGUCCCCCACAUUGGAACUGAGACACGGUCCAAACUCCUACGGGAGGCAGCAGUGAGGAAUAUUGGUCAAUGGACGAGAGUCUGAACCAGCCAAGUAGCGUGAAGGAUGACUGCCCUAUGGGUUGUAAACUUCUUUUAUAUGGGAAUAAAGUAUUCCACGUGUGGGAUUUUGUAUGUACCAUAUGAAUAAGGAUCGGCUAACUCCGUGCCAGCAGCCGCGGUAAUACGGAGGAUCCGAGCGUUAUCCGGAUUUAUUGGGUUUAAAGGGAGCGUAGGUGGAUUGUUAAGUCAGUUGUGAAAGUUUGCGGCUCAACCGUAAAAUUGCAGUUGAAACUGGCAGUCUUGAGUACAGUAGAGGUGGGCGGAAUUCGUGGUGUAGCGGUGAAAUGCUUAGAAAUCACGAAGAACUCCGAUUGCGAAGGCAGCUCACUAGACUGCAACUGACACUGAUGCUCGAAAGUGUGGGUAUCAAACAGGAUUAGAUACCCUGGUAGUCCACACAGUAAACGAUGAAUACUCGCUGUUUGCGAUAUACAGUAAGCGGCCAAGCGAAAGCAUUAAGUAUUCCACCUGGGGAGUACGCCGGCAACGGUGAAACUCAAAGGAAUUGACGGGGGCCCGCACAAGCGGAGGAACAUGUGGUUUAAUUCGAUGAUACGCGAGGAACCUUACCCGGGCUUAAAUUGCAUUUGAAUAAUCUGGAAACAGGUUAGCCGCAAGGCAAAUGUGAAGGUGCUGCAUGGUUGUCGUCAGCUCGUGCCGUGAGGUGUCGGCUUAAGUGCCAUAACGAGCGCAACCCUUAUCUUUAGUUACUAACAGGUCAUGCUGAGGACUCUAGAGAGACUGCCGUCGUAAGAUGUGAGGAAGGUGGGGAUGACGUCAAAUCAGCACGGCCCUUACGUCCGGGGCUACACACGUGUUACAAUGGGGGGUACAGAAGGCAGCUACCUGGCGACAGGAUGCUAAUCCCAAAAACCUCUCUCAGUUCGGAUCGAAGUCUGCAACCCGACUUCGUGAAGCUGGAUUCGCUAGUAAUCGCGCAUCAGCCAUGGCGCGGUGAAUACGUUCCCGGGCCU
RNAcentral lists this ribosomal RNA (1359 nucleotides) under uncultured bacterium. RNAcentral describes it as "bacterial SSU rRNA". It matches the Rfam family "Bacterial small subunit ribosomal RNA", at positions 28 to 1381 of the family's 1533-position model. The record is from RNAcentral.